This 429-nucleotide ribosomal RNA is filed under the name bacterium. RNAcentral describes it as "partial 16S ribosomal RNA". It matches the Rfam family "Bacterial small subunit ribosomal RNA", at positions 355 to 776 of the family's 1533-position model. The record is from RNAcentral.
UAGGGAAUCUUCCACAAUGGACGCAAGUCUGAUGGAGCAACGCCGCGUGAGUGAAGAAGGUUUUCGGAUCGUAAAGCUCUGUUGUUGGUGAAGAAGGAUAGAGGCAGUAACUGGUCUUUAUUUGACGGUAAUCAACCAGAAAGUCACGGCUAACUACGUGCCAGCAGCCGCGGUAAUACGUAGGUGGCAAGCGUUGUCCGGAUUUAUUGGGCGUAAAGCGAGCGCAGGCGGAAUGAUAAGUCUGAUGUGAAAGCCCACGGCUCAACCGGGGAACUGCAUCGGAAACUGUCAUUCUUGAGUGCAGAAGAGGAGAGUGGAAUUCCAUGUGUAGCGGUGGAAUGCGUAGAUAUAUGGAAGAACACCAGUGGCGGAGGCGGCUCUCUGGUCUGCAACUGACGCUGAGGCUCGAAAGCAUGGGUAGCGAACAGG